GACGAAGGUGGCGAGCGUUGUUCGGAUUCAUUGGGCUUAAAGAGCACGUAGGCGGCUUGUCAAGUGUCUUGUGAAAUCCCCCGGCUUAACCGGGGAACUGCUCGGCAAACUGGCAGGCUUGAGGCAGGUAAGGGCGCGUGGAACUCUUGGUGGAGCGGUGAAAUGCGUAGAUAUCAAGAGGAACGCCGGUGGUGAAGACGGCGCGCUAGGCCUGUCCUGACGCUGAGGUGCGAAAGCCAGGGGAG
This 245-nucleotide ribosomal RNA is filed under the name uncultured bacterium. RNAcentral's name for it is "partial 16S ribosomal RNA". It matches the Rfam family "Bacterial small subunit ribosomal RNA", at positions 524 to 768 of the family's 1533-position model. The record is from RNAcentral.